Molecule: ribosomal RNA, 331 nt
Filed under: uncultured Alicyclobacillus sp.
Lineage: Bacteria; Bacillati; Bacillota; Bacilli; Caryophanales; Alicyclobacillaceae
Description: bacterial LSU rRNA
Rfam family: Bacterial large subunit ribosomal RNA
Source: RNAcentral
CCUCCUACGACUCGGCCGCGUCGACGGGCGUACGGAGAAUGCCUGGGCACAGAGAGGCGAUGAAGGACGCAGCGAACAGCGAAAUGCGGCGGCGAGCGGUAAGCACGCGAUGACCCGCCGAUAUCCGAAUGGGGAAACCCCUCCGCUCAAGAAGCGGAGACCGCAUGACGACCGUCAUGACGGGGCAAUACGCAGGGAACUGAAACAUCUAAGUACCUGCAGGAAGAGAAAGAGAAGUCGAUUCCGUAAGUAGCGGCGAGCGAAAGCGGAGGAGCCCAAACCGGACACAGUCCGGGGUUGUAGGACCGCCGGUAAAGAUGACAUGAAGAGU